UUCCUCGUCAAAUGGUUUUCCACUACAAAUUCCCACAAUCAUUUGCCUCCAACAUCUCCAAGGCUCCCAAUACUAGGAAACCUCCACCAACUUGGCGCACGCCCUCACCGAUCCCUCCAACAACUAGCUCAGCACUAUGGUGGACUCAUGAUGCUUCACUUUGGUUCCAGACCUGUGAUCAUAGUUUCAUCUGCAGAUGCUGCUUGCGAGAUCAUGAAAACAAAUGAUCUCAUCUUCUGUAACAAACCCAGAUUAACACUUAUUGAUAGACUUCUUUACCAAGGCAAGGAUGUGGCCUCAGCUUCUUACGGUGAGUAUUGGAGGCAAAUAAGAAGCAUAUGUGUCCUCCAGCUUUUAAGUACCAAAAGGGUGCAGUCUUACCGAGGAAUUAGAGAAGAAGAACUAGCCUUGUUGAUUGAGAAUGUCAAACAAUCGUAUAUGUUGUCAUUGCCAGUCAAUCUAAGCGAUUUGUUUUCUUUGCUUAAUAAUGAUGUGAUUUGUAGGGUGGCUUUUGGAAAGAAGUACAGUGGUGGUAAUGAAGGUGCAAUGAAGUUCAAGAAGUUGCUUAGGGAACUUAUGGAGUUGUUGAGUGUUUUCUCUGUUGGAGAUUUUAUUCCAUGGCUUUCAUGGAUUAAUCGCUUUAGUGGGUUAGAUGCAAGAGUGGAGAGAGUUUCUAAAGAAUUGGAUAGAUUUCUUGAUACAAUAGUUGAGGAGCAUAUGGUUAAUCUUAGCACCGAUGGAGAUAUCUGUGGUGAAGAAGGUGAAGAUAGACAGGAUUUUGUGGAUGUUCUGCUUGAAGUGCAUAAGAAUAGCAUUGUCUCUGGUUCUUCCAUUGAUAGGGAUGGCAUGAAAGCUCUCAUCUUGGAUAUGUUUGCAGGUGGAACUGAUACAACCUCCAGUUAUAGAAUGGGCUAUGACUGAACUCAUAAGGCAUCCCAGAGUGAUGGAAAGACUGCGAAAUGAGGUUAUGGGAAUUGCUAGUGGAAAACAAGACAUAACAGAAAGUGACUUGGACAAAAUGCCAUACUUGAAAGCUGUGAUCAAAGAAACAUUGAGGCUGUAUCCUCCAUUACCAUUGGUGUUUCGAGAGUCAACCCAAGAUGCUAAAAUAAAGGGAUAUGACAUUGCUGCAAGAACCAUGGUGAUAGUCAGUGCCUGGACAAUUGGAAGAGACCCUUCUCUGUGGGAUGGACCAGAGGAGUUUCAACCUGAUAGGUUUAUGAAUUCUUGUGUGGACUUCAAAGGGCAGGACUUUCAGUUGAUCCCAUUUGGAGCUGGCAGAAGAGGUUGCCCGGGAAUCUUAUUUGCCAUGACCACUACGGAACUUGUUUUAGCAAAUCUUGUGCACAAGUUUGAAUGGUCAUUGCCUAGUGUAGCUAGAGCUGAGGAUAUGAACAUGACUGAAAGCGUUGGUUUUGUCAUCCACAGAGAAGUUCCUCUCAUAGCUAUGGCAGUGCCAAGGUCUUGUUAGAUUUAUUUUCUUC
Molecule: RNA transcript, 1484 nt
Organism: Fragaria vesca subsp. vesca
Lineage: Eukaryota; Viridiplantae; Streptophyta; Magnoliopsida; Rosales; Rosaceae
Gene name: cytochrome P450 71A6-like
Exons: 1
Source: RefSeq, a predicted model, not a curated record